This 497-nucleotide ribosomal RNA is filed under the name uncultured bacterium. RNAcentral describes it as "partial 16S ribosomal RNA". It matches the Rfam family "Bacterial small subunit ribosomal RNA", at positions 28 to 507 of the family's 1533-position model. The record is from RNAcentral.
GAUGAACGCUGGCGGCGUGCCUAAUACAUGCAAGUCGAGCGAACGGACGAGAAGCUUGCUUCUCUGAUGUUAGCGGCGGACGGGUGAGUAACACGUGGAUAACCUACCUAUAAGACUGGGAUAACUUCGGGAAACCGGAGCUAAUACCGGAUAAUAUUUUGAACCGCAUGUUUCAAAAGUGAAAGACGGUCUUGCUGUCACUUAUAGAUGGAUCCGCGCUGCAUUAGCUAGUUGGUAAGGUAACGGCUUACCAAGGCAACGAUGCAUAGCCGACCUGAGAGGGUGAUCGGCCACACUGGAACUGAGACACGGUCCAGACUCCUACGGGAGGCAGCAGUAGGGAAUCUUCCGCAAAGGGCGAAAGCCUGACGGAGCAACGCCGCGUGAGUGAUGAAGGUCUUCGGAUCGUAAAACUCUGUUAUUAGGGAAGAACAUAUGUGUAAGUAACUGUGCACAUCUUGACGGUACCUAAUCAGAAAGCCACGGCUAACUACGUG